UGAKUAUGACGUGCUUGCACUGAAUGAGAUUUUAACACGAAGUGAGUGGCGGACGGGUGAGUAACACGUGGGUAACCUGCCCAGAAGCAGGGGAUAACACCUGGAAACAGAUGCUAAUACCGUAUAACAGAGAAAACCGCCUGGUUUUCUUUUAAAAGAUGGCUCUGCUAUCACUUCUGGAUGGACCCGCGGCGCAUUAGCUAGUUGGUGAGGUAACGGCUCACCAAGGCGAUGAUGCGUAGCCGACCUGAGAGGGUAAUCGGCCACAUUGGGACUGAGACACGGCCCAGACUCCUACGGGAGGCAGCAGUAGGGAAUCUUCCACAAUGGACGCAAGUCUGAUGGAGCAACGCCGCGUGAGUGAAGAAGGGUUUCGGCUCGUAAAGCUCUGUUGUUAAAGAAGAACGUGGGUGAGAGUAACUGUUCACCCAGUGACGGUAUUUAACCAGAAAGCCACGGCUAACUACGUGCCAGCAGCCGCGGUAAUACGUAGGUGGCAAGCGUUAUCCGGAUUUAUUGGGCGUAAAGCGAGCGCAGGCGGUCUUUUAAGUCUAAUGUGAAAGCCUUCGGCUCAACCGAAGAAGUGCAUUGGAAACUGGGAGACUUGAGUGCAGAAGAGGAYAGUGGAACUCCAUGUGUAGCGGUGAAAUGCGUAGAUAUAUGGAAGAACACCAGUGGCGAAGGCGGCUGUCUGGUCUGUAACUGACGCUGAGGCUCGAAAGCAUGGGUAGCGAACAGGAUUAGAUACCCUGGUAGUCCAUGCCGUAAACGAUGAUUACUAARUGUUGGAGGGUUUCCGCCCUUCAGUGCUGCAGCUAACGCAUUAAGUAAUCCGCCUGGGGAGUACGACCGCAAGGUUGAAACUCAAAAGAAUUGACGGGGGCCCGCACAAGCGGUGGAGCAUGUGGUUUAAUUCGAAGCUACGCGAAGAACCUUACCAGGUCUUGACAUCUUCUGCCAACCYAAGAGAUUAGGCGUUCCCUUCGGGGACAGAAUGACAGGUGGUGCAUGGUUGUCGUCAGCUCGUGUCGUGAGAUGUUGGGUUAAGUCCCGCAACGAGCGCAACCCUUAUUACUAGUUGCCAGCAUUCAGUUGGGCACUCUAGUGAGACUGCCGGUGACAAACCGGAGGAAGGUGGGGACGACGUCAAAUCAUCAUGCCCCUUAUGACCUGGGCUACACACGUGCUACAAUGGAUGGUACAACGAGUYGCGAAACCGCGAGGUUUAGCUAAUCUCUUAAAACCAUUCUCAGUUCGGACUGUAGGCUGCAACUCGCCUACACGAAGUCGGAAUCGCUAGUAAUCGCGGAUCAGCAUGCCGCGGUGAAUACGUUCCCGGGCCUUGUACACACCGCCCGUCACACCAUGAGAGUUUGUU
This 1378-nucleotide ribosomal RNA is filed under the name Pediococcus sp. Its description in RNAcentral is "bacterial SSU rRNA". It matches the Rfam family "Bacterial small subunit ribosomal RNA", at positions 45 to 1416 of the family's 1533-position model. The record is from RNAcentral. Lineage: Bacteria; Bacillati; Bacillota; Bacilli; Lactobacillales; Lactobacillaceae.